Molecule: ribosomal RNA, 380 nt
Filed under: uncultured eukaryote
Lineage: Eukaryota
Description: SSU rRNA
Rfam family: Eukaryotic small subunit ribosomal RNA
Source: RNAcentral
AGCUCCAAUAGCGUAUAUUAAAGUUGUUGCAGUUAAAAAGCUCGUAGUUGGAUUUCGGAACCGGCCGAUUGGUCCGUCCUUUGGAUCGUGUACUGAUCGGUCUGUUCUUCUUCGCGAAGACCGCGUGUGCCCUUAACUGGGUGGGCGUGGGAUUCGCGACGUUUACUUUGAAAAAAUUAGAGUGUUCAAAGCAGGCCUUCGCUUGAAUAUCUCAGCAUGGAAUAAUAGAAUAGGACUUUGGUCUUAUUUUGUUGGUUUCCGAGACCGAAGUAAUGAUUAAUAGGGACAGUUGGGGGCAUUCGUAUUUCAUUGUCAGAGGUGAAAUUCUUGGAUUUAUGAAAGACGAACUUCUGCGAAAGCAUUUGCCAAGGAUGUUUUCA